Molecule: long non-coding RNA, 261 nt
Organism: Symphalangus syndactylus (siamang)
Lineage: Eukaryota; Metazoa; Chordata; Mammalia; Primates; Hylobatidae
Source: RefSeq, a predicted model, not a curated record
UCUGAAAAAGAGGAUGACAUAAUCAGAAGGAGACCAUUUGGGGAACUUGGACUUCAAACCCAAACAGCACUUGUGAGGCACCCCUCCUGCUCCUUGCAGAGGUACUACCAGAGGAAACCUGCUGGAGAGUCAGGACUAACACCACUCAGUGGUAAAUCAGAGGAGCAUACCACUCACCAACAUUUUAAAAAGUAUGUCGCCAGCCGGGCGCGGUGGCUCACAUCUGUAAUCCCAGCACUUUGGGAGGCCGAGGCAGGCGGA